This 497-nucleotide ribosomal RNA is filed under the name uncultured bacterium. RNAcentral's name for it is "partial 16S ribosomal RNA". It matches the Rfam family "Bacterial small subunit ribosomal RNA", at positions 28 to 507 of the family's 1533-position model. The record is from RNAcentral.
GAUGAACGCUGGCGGCGUGCCUAAUACAUGCAAGUCGAGCGAACAGAUAAGGAGCUUGCUCCUUUGACGUUAGCGGCGGACGGGUGAGUAACACGUGGAUAACCUACCUAUAAGACUGGAAUAACUCCGGGAAACCGGGGCUAAUGCCGGAUAACAUGUUGAACCGCAUGGUUCUAUAGUGAAAGGCGGCUUUGCUGUCACUUAUAGAUGGACCCGCGCCGUAUUAGCUAGUUGGUGAGGUAACGGCUCACCAAGGCAACGAUACGUAGCCGACCUGAGAGGGUGAUCGGCCACACUGGAACUGAGACACGGUCCAGACUCCUACGGGAGGCAGCAGUAGGGAAUCUUCCGCAAUGGGCGAAAGCCUGACGGAGCAACGCCGCGUGAGUGAUGAAGGUCUUCGGAUCGUAAAACUCUGUUAUUAGGGAAGAACAAAUGCGUAAGUAACUGUGCGCGUCUUGACGGUACCUAAUCAGAAAGCCACGGCUAACUACGUG